UGGGGAAUAUUGGACAAUGGGCGGAAGCCUGAUCCAGCAACGCCGCGUGAGGGAUGACGGCCUUCGGGUUGUAAACCUCUUUCAGUACCGACGAAGCGGAAGUGACGGUAGGUACAGAAGAAGCACCGGCCAACUACGUGCCAGCAGCCGCGGUAAUACGUAGGGUGCGAGCGUUGUCCGGAAUUAUUGGGCGUAAAGGGCUCGUAGGCGGUUUGUCGCGUCGGGAGUGAAAACACUGGGCUUAACUCAGUGCUUGCUUCCGAUACGGGCAGACUAGAGGCAUGCAGGGGAGAACGGAAUUCCUGGUGUAGCGGUGAAAUGCGCAGAUAUCAGGAGGAACACCGGUGGCGAAGGCGGUUCUCUGGGCAUGUCCUGACGCUGAGGAGCGAAAGUGUGGGGAGCGAACAGGAUUAGAUACCCUGGUAGGUCCACACCGUAAAACGUUGGGCGCUAGGUGUGGGGCCUAUUCCCAUGGGUUCCGUGCCGCAGCUAACGCAUUAAGCGCCCCGCCUGGGGAGUACGGCCGCAAGGCUAAAAACUUAAAUGAAUUGACGGGGUCAUAGCUGUUUCCU
RNAcentral lists this ribosomal RNA (572 nucleotides) under uncultured bacterium. RNAcentral's name for it is "partial 16S ribosomal RNA". It matches the Rfam family "Bacterial small subunit ribosomal RNA", at positions 355 to 1375 of the family's 1533-position model. The record is from RNAcentral.